CAGUCGCCGCGGGAAUACGGAGGGUGCAAGCGUUAUCCGGAUUUAUUGGGUUUAAAGGGUCCGUAGGCGGACUUAUAAGUCAGUGGUGAAAGCCUGUCGCUUAACGAUAGAACUGCCAUUGAUACUGUAAGUCUUGAGUAUAUUUGAGGUAGCUGGAAUAAGUAGUGUAGCGGUGAAAUGCAUAGAUAUUACUUUGAACACCAAUUGCGAAGGCAGGUUACCAAGAUAUAACUGACGCUGAGGGACGAAAGCGUGGGUAGCGAACAGGAUUAGAUACCCCAGUAGUCCCUGUCUCUUAUAC
Molecule: ribosomal RNA, 301 nt
Filed under: uncultured bacterium
Lineage: Bacteria
Description: partial 16S ribosomal RNA
Rfam family: Bacterial small subunit ribosomal RNA
Source: RNAcentral